GACAGAGGGUGCAAACGUUGUUCAGAAUUACUGGGCGUAAAGCGAGUGUAGGCGGUUUCCUAAGUCAGGUGUGAAAGCCCCGGGCUCAACCCGGGAAGUGCACUUGAAACUGGGAGGCUAGAGUAUCGGAGAGGUUGGUGGAAUUCUCGGUGUAGAGGUGAAAUUCGUAGAUAUCGAGAGGAACACCGGUGGCGAAGGCGGCCAACUGGACGAAUACUGACGCUGAGACUCGAAAGCGUGGGGAGCAAACAGG
This 253-nucleotide ribosomal RNA is filed under the name uncultured bacterium. RNAcentral's name for it is "partial 16S ribosomal RNA". It matches the Rfam family "Bacterial small subunit ribosomal RNA", at positions 524 to 776 of the family's 1533-position model. The record is from RNAcentral.